UUCUGAUCCCUGUUUUCCUGUUCUCUAAAAAACGCCUAUUUUCACUGUCAUGUGAUGUGACCACCGACUGCUUGUUUUUGAGACGUUUCGAAGUGUCCAUUACGCGGAAUUCCCUACGAGAACAUGGAACUGUUCGCAAGUGUCAUUGGGCAACAACAAAUAGGUCUUACGGUUGGAGUGAGUUUGUUGAUCAUCGUUGUGAUUGUCGUUCUCGCAGCUGUUGUUUACACACCGCCGGGCGCUACAGCACGAUGCCUGAGGAGAAACAGGAGUGAGGAACACCUCUCUCUAACUGACAACAGAAUAUCAUGACUUUGUAAAGUUUUGUAUUCUUAAAACUUUGUCUUGACACCUGAAAGAUCCCCUCAUCGCAUACAUUAAAGGAAUGCUAUGUACAGUAUCCGCAUAUUACGUUACACGACUUACCGCGGUAAAUAAAUCGCACGAAAUAUUGAUUUAAUACAUUUAUGGGAGUAACAGACCUCGAAAUAUCACGACUGACCAAUCAGAAACAAGUAUUUGAAAGAGCCAUGUAACAAUCUAUUUGAACUGGUGCUUAUUUCCUAAACCUUUCAUUUUCAAUAUAAUUAACGUUUGCUUAUUAAACUAAAAUAACCUACGUGAGUCUCUAACUUUAUAUGGAAAAUGUGUACCCUUUAAGAUGAAAAGCAACUUGUUUUACCUCAUACCAAUGAAUGUAAUGCUGCAAUGUUGGUAGAACAGGACUGUGGUUCAAGCUGCUCAUUUUAGCCCGGUGGGUCUCAGCCUUUUUGAUUAAAAUCAUAUACAAAGAA
Long non-coding RNA from Misgurnus anguillicaudatus (oriental weatherfish), 794 nucleotides. RefSeq lists it as uncharacterized. NCBI's taxonomy places the organism in Eukaryota, Metazoa, Chordata, Actinopteri, Cypriniformes, Cobitidae. The record is from RefSeq and is a predicted model, not a curated record.